RNAcentral lists this ribosomal RNA (368 nucleotides) under uncultured organism. RNAcentral describes it as "bacterial SSU rRNA". It matches the Rfam family "Bacterial small subunit ribosomal RNA", at positions 526 to 896 of the family's 1533-position model. The record is from RNAcentral.
CGAAGGUGGCAAGCGUUGUUCGGAUUUACUGGGCGUACAGGGAGCGUAGGCGGUUCGGUAAGCCCUCUGUGAAAUCUCCAGGCUCAACCUGGAACAGUCGGAGGGGACUGCCGGGCUAGAGGACGGGAGAGGAGCGCGGAAUUCCCGGUGUAGCGGUGAAAUGCGUAGAGAUCGGGAGGAAGGCCGGUGGCGAAGGCGGCGCUCUGGAACGUUUCUGACGCUGAGGCUCGAAAGCGUGGGGAGCAAACAGGAUUAGAUACCCUGGUAGUCCACGCCUUAAACUAUGAAUACUAAGUGUCGGCGGGUUACCGCCGGUGCCGCAGCUAACGCAUUAAGUAUUCCGCCUGGGAAGUACAGCCGCAAGGUUG